UUACCGAGUUUACAACUCCCAAACCCCUGUGAACAUACCACUUGUUGCCUCGGCGGAUCAGCCCGCUCCCGGUAAAACGGGACGGCCCGCCAGAGGACCCCUAAACUCUGUUUCUAUAUGUAACUUCUGAGUAAAACCAUAAAUAAAUCAAAACUUUCAACAACGGAUCUCUUGGUUCUGGCAUCGAUGAAGAACGCAGCAAAAUGCGAUAAGUAAUGUGAAUUGCAGAAUUCAGUGAAUCAUCGAAUCUUUGAACGCACAUUGCGCCCGCCAGUAUUCUGGCGGGCAUGCCUGUUCGAGCGUCAUUUCAACCCUCAAGCACAGCUUGGUGUUGGGACUCGCGUUAAUUCGCGUUCCUCAAAUUGAUUGGCGGUCACGUCGAGCUUCCAUAGCGUAGUAGUAAAACCCUCGUUACUGGUAAUCGUCGCGGCCACGCCGUUAAACCCCAACUUCUGAAUGUUGACCUCGGAUCAGGUAGGAAUACCCGCUGAACUUAAGCAUA
Molecule: ribosomal RNA, 502 nt
Filed under: Fusarium oxysporum
Lineage: Eukaryota; Fungi; Ascomycota; Sordariomycetes; Hypocreales; Nectriaceae
Description: eukaryotic LSU rRNA
Rfam family: 5.8S ribosomal RNA (bases 152-305)
Source: RNAcentral